RNAcentral lists this ribosomal RNA (468 nucleotides) under uncultured bacterium. RNAcentral describes it as "partial 16S ribosomal RNA". The stretch from base 58 to 468 matches the Rfam family "Bacterial small subunit ribosomal RNA", at positions 39 to 507 of the family's 1533-position model. The record is from RNAcentral.
GGGGGGGGGGGGGGGGGGGGGGGGGGCGGGGGGGGCGGGGGGGGGGGCCCGGCGGGUGGGGGGUGCGCGCGGGGCGGACGGGGGAGUAACCCGGGAGUGACCUGCCCUUGACUUUGGGGGCACUUCAGGAACCUGGGGCUCAUACCGGGUAGGCGCUCCUGCUGCAUGGUGUGGGUUGGAAAGUUUCGGCGGUUGGGGAUGGACUCGCGGCUUAUCCGCUUGUUGGUUGGGUAGUUGCUUACCAAGGCUUUGGCGGGUAGCCGGCCUUCGAGGGUGACCGGCCACCAUGGGACUGAGAUACGGCCCAGAAUCCUACGGGAGGCAGGAGUGGGGAAUAUUGCAGAAUGGGCGGAAGCCUGAUGCAGCAACGCCGCGUGCGGGAUGACGGCCUUCGGGUUGUAAACCGCUUUCGCCUGUGACGAAGCGUGAGUGACGGUAAUGGGUAAAGAAGCACCGGCUAACUACGUG